Molecule: ribosomal RNA, 564 nt
Filed under: uncultured Actinomycetes bacterium
Lineage: Bacteria; Bacillati; Actinomycetota; Actinomycetes
Description: bacterial SSU rRNA
Rfam family: Bacterial small subunit ribosomal RNA
Source: RNAcentral
CCUACGGGAGGCAGCAGUGGGGAAUCUUGCGCAAUGGGCGAAAGCCUGACGCAGCAACGCCGCGUGCGGGAUGAAGGCCUUCGGGUUGUAAACCGCUUUUACCAGGAAGGAAAAUGACAGUACCUGGAGAAUAAGGUGCGGCCAACUACGUGCCAGCAGCCGCGGUGACACGUAGGCACCAAGCGUUGUCCGGAUUUAUUGGGCGUAAAGAGCUCGUAGGCGGUUCAGUAAGUCGGGUGUGAAAACUCUGGGCUCAACUCAGAGACGCCACCCGAUACUGCUGUGACUUGAGUCCGGUAGGGGAGUGGGGAAUUCCUGGUGUAGCGGUGAAAUGCGCAGAUAUCAGGAGGAACACCAAUGGCGAAGGCACCACUCUGGGCCGAGACUGACGCUGAGGAGCGAAAGCGUGGGUAGCAAACAGGAUUAGAUACCCUGGUGGUCCACGCCGUAAACGGUGGGCACUAGGUGUGGGUUCCAACCAACGGAAUCCGCGCCGGCGCUAACGCAUUAAGUGCCCCGCCUGGGGAGUACGGCCGCAAGGUUAAAACUCAAAGGAAUUGACGG